AGAGCGAACGCUGGCGGCAGGCUUAACACAUGCAAGUCGAGCGGGCACCGUUCGGGUAGUCAGCGGCAGACGGGUGAGUAACACGUGGGAACGUACCCUUCGGUUCGGAAUAACGCUGGGAAACUAGCGCUAAAUACCGGAUACGCCCUUUUGGGGAAAGGUUUACUGCCGAAGGAUCGGCCCGCGUCUGAUUAGCUAGUUGGUGGGGUAACGGCCUACCAAGGCGACGAUCAGUAGCUGGUCUGAGAGGAUGAUCAGCCACACUGGGACUGAGACACGGCCCAGACUCCUACGGGAGGCAGCAGUGGGGAAUAUUGGACAAUGGGCGCAAGCCUGAUCCAGCCAUGCCGCGUGAGUGAUGAAGGCCUUAGGGUUGUAAAGCUCUUUUGUCCGGGACGAUAAUGACGGUACCGGAAGAAUAAGCCCCGGCUAACUUCGUGCCAGCAGCCGC
RNAcentral lists this ribosomal RNA (451 nucleotides) under uncultured bacterium. Its description in RNAcentral is "SSU rRNA". It matches the Rfam family "Bacterial small subunit ribosomal RNA", at positions 26 to 518 of the family's 1533-position model. The record is from RNAcentral.